AUUGAACGCUGGCGGCAUGCUUUACACAUGCAAGUCGAACGGCAGCGCGGGCUUCGGCCUGGCGGCGAGUGGCGAACGGGUGAGUAAUGCAUCGGAACGUGCCCAGUAGUGGGGGAUAGCCCGGCGAAAGCCGGAUUAAUACCGCAUACGACCUGAGGGUGAAAGCGGGGGACCGAAAGGCCUCGCGCUAUUGGAGCGGCCGAUGUCGGAUUAGCUAGUUGGUGGGGUAAAGGCUUACCAAGGCGACGAUCCGUAGCUGGUCUGAGAGGACGACCAGCCACACUGGGACUGAGACACGGCCCAGACUCCUACGGGAGGCAGCAGUGGGUAAUUUUGGACAAUGGGGGCAACCCUGAUCCAGCCAUGCCGCGUGCGGGAAGAAGGCCUUCGGGUUGUAAACCGCUUUUGUUCGGGAAGAAAUCCUCUGGGCUAAUACCCCGGGGGGAUGACGGUACCGGAAGAAUAAGCACCGGCUAACUACGUG
This 484-nucleotide ribosomal RNA is filed under the name uncultured bacterium. RNAcentral's name for it is "partial 16S ribosomal RNA". It matches the Rfam family "Bacterial small subunit ribosomal RNA", at positions 28 to 507 of the family's 1533-position model. The record is from RNAcentral.